This 449-nucleotide ribosomal RNA is filed under the name uncultured bacterium. Its description in RNAcentral is "bacterial SSU rRNA". It matches the Rfam family "Bacterial small subunit ribosomal RNA", at positions 328 to 794 of the family's 1533-position model. The record is from RNAcentral.
UGACCAGACUCCUACGGGAGGCAGCAGUGGGGAAUAUUGCACAAUGGGGGAAACCCUGAUGCAGCGACGCCGCGUGAGUGAAGAAGUCUUUCGGUAUGUAAAGCUCUAUCAGCAGGGAAGAUAAUGACGGUACCUGACUAAGAAGCCUCGGCUAACUACGUGCCAGCAGCCGCGGUAAUACGUAGGGGGCAAGCGUUAUCCGGAUUUACUGGGUGUAAAGGGAGCGUAGACGGCAGCGCAAGUCUGGAGUGAAAUGCCGGGGCCCAACCCCGGAACUGCUUUGGAAACUGUGCGGCUCGAGUGCGGGAGAGGUAGGCGGAAUUCCUAGUGUAGCGGUGAAAUGCGUAGAUAUUAGGAGGAACACCAGUGGCGAAGGCGGCUUACUGGACCGUAACUGACGUUGAGGCUCGAAAGCGUGGGGAGCAAACAGGAUUAGAUACCCGAGUAUA